AACCAUUCUCACCUGCGGCUAGACCUGCGGAGGGAUCAUUACGAGAGUGUCACCACUCCCAACCCAUUGUUUACCUACCCGUCCACCGUGCUUCGGCAGGCAGCCCUGUGGGACAGAGCCUCGCCCCCUUUCGCGGGGGGUGCCUGCCGCUUGCCAACCAAAACUCUAGCUGUUUUAGUACCAUCUGAGUCUUCCACAAAUGAACAAAACUUUCAGCAACGGAUCUCAGAUCGGAAGAGC
This 240-nucleotide unclassified non-coding RNA is filed under the name soil metagenome. Its description in RNAcentral is "partial contains 5.8S ribosomal RNA, internal transcribed spacer 2, and large subunit ribosomal RNA". The record is from RNAcentral.